GGUGAGGUGGCCUAAGGGUUAUGGCGCCUGGUACAUAUUCCCCCGCCUGACAAUUUUCGGAGAAUCACCAGGAGACUUCCGGUUCGAGUCCGGACCUCACCA
This 102-nucleotide transfer RNA is filed under the name Marasmius sp. AFHP31. RNAcentral's name for it is "tRNA-Met". It matches the Rfam family "tRNA". Rfam says of the family: Transfer RNA (tRNA) molecules are approximately 80 nucleotides in length. Their secondary structure includes four short double-helical elements and three loops (D, anti-codon, and T loops). Further hydrogen bonds mediate the characteristic L-shaped molecular structure. tRNAs have two regions of fundamental functional importance: the anti-codon, which is responsible for specific mRNA codon recognition, and the 3' end, to which the tRNAs corresponding amino acid is attached (by aminoacyl-tRNA synthetases). tRNAs cope with the degeneracy of the genetic code in two manners: having more than one tRNA (with a specific anti-codon) for a particular amino acid; and 'wobble' base-pairing, i.e. permitting non-standard base-pairing at the 3rd anti-codon position. Lineage: Eukaryota; Fungi; Basidiomycota; Agaricomycetes; Agaricales; Marasmiaceae. The record is from RNAcentral.